This 84-nucleotide non-coding RNA is filed under the name actinobacterium acAMD-2. Its description in RNAcentral is "Actinobacterium acAMD-2 c-di-GMP sequence". It matches the Rfam family "c-di-GMP-II-GAG riboswitch aptamer". Lineage: Bacteria; Bacillati; Actinomycetota; Actinomycetes. The record is from RNAcentral.
GAAGUCGUAGGAGGCAUUGACCUUCGGGUUCGUCUGGUCGCAUCCAGCCCGAAGUGAGCCAUAGCGAAACCGGCCAACGACGAA